UGGGGAAUUUUGGACAAUGGGCGAAAGCCUGAUCCAGCAAUGCCGCGUGUGUGAAGAAGGCCUUCGGGUUGUAAAGCACUUUUGUCCGGAAAGAAAUCCUUGGCUCUAAUACAGUCGGGGGAUGACGGUACCGGAAGAAUAAGCACCGGCUAACUACGUGCCAGCAGCCGCGGUAAUACGUAGGGUGCAAGCGUUAAUCGGAAUUACUGGGCGUAAAGCGUGCGCAGGCGGUUUGCUAAGACCGAUGUGAAAUCCCCGGGCUCAACCUGGGAACUGCAUUGGUGACUGGCAGGCUAGAGUAUGGCAGAGGGGGGUAGAAUUCCACGUGUAGCAGUGAAAUGCGUAGAGAUGUGGAGGAAUACCGAUGGCGAAGGCAGCCCCCUGGGCCAAUACUGACGCUCAUGCACGAAAGCGUGGGGAGCAAACAGGAUUAGAUACCCUGGUAGUCCACGCCCUAAAACGAUGUCAACUAGUUGUUGGGGGGUUCAUUUCCUUAGUAACGUAGCUAACGCGUGAAGUUGACCGCCUGGGGAGUACGGUCGCAAGAUUAAAACUUAAAGGAAUUGACGGGGUCAUAGCUGUUUCCU
This 587-nucleotide ribosomal RNA is filed under the name uncultured bacterium. Its description in RNAcentral is "partial 16S ribosomal RNA". It matches the Rfam family "Bacterial small subunit ribosomal RNA", at positions 355 to 1375 of the family's 1533-position model. The record is from RNAcentral.